AUGAGGAAGGCCACGGGUGGGGAUCUUGUGAGACCAGCAGCCACUCGUUUUGCCACAGCCAUCCUCACACUUAGGAGUUUGGUCAAGAACAAGGCUGCAUUGAGGAGUUUAUUUACAUCUGAAGAAUGGGUUGGAAACAAGUUAGCAAAAACACAAGUUGGCUUGAAUGUGCAAGAGAUUAUACUUUCAACGGAGUGGUGGAGCGCAAUUGAGGACUGCCUUAGAGCUUCAACUCCACUUCUUAGAGUUCUUAGAGUAGCAGAUGGUGAUGAGAAGCCUGCCAUGCUAGAGAUUAAAGCACUUAUGAUUUAUGCAAAGGAGAGGAUCAAUCUAGGUUUCCCUCAACAAAACAAGCAACCAUUGCUCAAGAAGAUCUUGGCCAUUGUUGAUAAGCGUUGGGAGAAUCAAAUGGAUCAUCCAUUGUAUGGGGCUGCUCUAUUUUUGAACCCAGGAAAGUUCUUUCCUAUUGUAAGCAGAAAUGAUGAUGCCUUAGUUGGGGAGCUUAGGAGCUGCUUUAAUGAUGUGCUUGCAAAAAUGGUACCGGAUGCCAAUGUUCGAAAAAAGAUUGAUCAACAAUCUGUGCUCUAUGAGCAACAGCGAGAAAGCUUUUCUAAUCCAUUGGCACUCGAGACCAUGAGCACAAGAAACCCUCUUGAUUGGUGGAGUUCAUUUGGUGGUCGGGCCAUUGACCUACAAAGGUUUGCAAAGCGCAUUGUUAGUCUUUGUGCUUCAUCAUCUGGUUGUGAGAGGAAUUGGAGCACGUUUGAAUUUAUCCAUACAAAGAAAAGGAACAUAUUACAAUGGAAAAGGUUGAAUGAUCUUGUCUUUGUUUCAUACAACCGGAAGAAUAUGCAACGGUUUCAAAAGAGGCGUGAGAAGGUGGGCGAGAAUAGCUUUGAGGCUUUGGUCAUUGAGGAUUUUGAUUGGGCCAAUGAGUGGGUGGACCCAUCACUAUCACAACCUCAAGGUGCUCGAGGUUGUCCUGAAGACAAUCAAGACAUUACAUGGGAGGAUGUUGAUGUGGCUAUUGGUGCAUCUUCAAACCUUCGAGGCCGCAAUCUGCAUAGGAUAGCAACUACACUUCGUAGGGGCCAGACAAAUGUCCGUCUGCACUACGCACGCAAGAGACCUACUACAACACGACCUAUAAUUCCGGAAGAAGAUGAGGUAGAGGAGGACUUGGAGCAAGAGCAACACUCAAGUAUGCCCAAUGCGGAGGGGGAGGAUUCAUACUACGUUGAGGAUGAUGAUGAUGUGAGCAAUGACGAUCAAGAGCCAACUAAUGUUGACCAAGAUGGUGAAGACAACACCAAUGCCAAUGAGUUUGAUGAUGAUGACUUUUGA
This 1344-nucleotide ribosomal RNA is filed under the name Triticum aestivum (bread wheat). RNAcentral's name for it is "partial small subunit ribosomal RNA". Lineage: Eukaryota; Viridiplantae; Streptophyta; Magnoliopsida; Poales; Poaceae. The record is from RNAcentral.